UACGGGGGAAGCAAGCGUUGUUCGGAUUUACUGGGCGUAAAGGGCGCGUAGGCGGUAGCACAAGUCAGUUGUGAAAUCUCCGGGCUUAACUCGGAAAGGUCAACUGAUACUGUGCGACUAGAGUGCAGAAGGGGCAACUGGAAUUCUCGGUGUAGCGGUGAAAUGCGUAGAUAUCGAGAGGAACACCUGCGGCGAAGGCGGGUUGCUGGGCUGACACUGACGCUGAGGCGCGAAAGCGUGGGGAGCGAACAGG
This 253-nucleotide ribosomal RNA is filed under the name uncultured bacterium. RNAcentral describes it as "partial 16S ribosomal RNA". It matches the Rfam family "Bacterial small subunit ribosomal RNA", at positions 524 to 776 of the family's 1533-position model. The record is from RNAcentral.